ACGCUGUACGCCAUUUUGAUUUUAUACUCUGUCAUAUGUGGGGAUGUUUUGUUGGGUUGUAUUGUCUUGUUUUAUUUUAAAUAUUUUGUAAUAUUGAGUGCUAAGUGUAUAAAUAAAAAUGCAAAAAUAUAUAGUAUACAUAACUUUACAUAUUUGCUUAUGUGAAAUUUGUUCAGCUACAUUGAAAUCGAAAGAGUAUAAGAAAUAACCCCAAAAUGAAUUCUAUGAAGUGCUGUUUGAUAUAUAAUAUUAUGAAGGGCCCGCGUUUGGAGAUGUCUCAAAAAAAACUAGAGCUUAUUAUUUGGAUAUGAAAAUUUAGUUUUCGACAAUGCUACAAGAUACUAAAGGAUUGGAUUCUAAGUCUCGGUUUAAAUCCUAAAUUGCCUCGAAUAACAUAUGUGAUUAAUAUGAAAGAAUAUCGAGAGGGUUUUAACAGCAAAACAAGGAAUGA
This is a long non-coding RNA of Ctenocephalides felis (cat flea), 451 nucleotides long. RefSeq lists it as uncharacterized. The record is from RefSeq and is a predicted model, not a curated record. The transcript has 3 exons. Lineage: Eukaryota; Metazoa; Arthropoda; Insecta; Siphonaptera; Pulicidae.